AUUGAACGCUGGCGGCAUGCCUUACACAUGCAAGUCGAACGGCAGCACGGGAGCUUGCUCCUGGUGGCGAGUGGCGAACGGGUGAGUAAUACAUCGGAACGUACCCUGAAGUGGGGGAUAACGUAGCGAAAGUUACGCUAAUACCGCAUAUUCUGUGAGCAGGAAAGAGGGGGAUCGCAAGACCUCUUGCUUUAGGAGCGGCCGAUGUCGGAUUAGCUAGUUGGUGAGGUAAAGGCUCACCAAGGCGACGAUCCGUAGUGGGUCUGAGAGGAUGAUCCGCCACACUGGGACUGAGACACGGCCCAGACUCCUACGGGAGGCAGCAGUGGGGAAUUUUGGACAAUGGGCGCAAGCCUGAUCCAGCCAUGCCGCGUGAGUGAAGAAGGCCU
Molecule: ribosomal RNA, 389 nt
Filed under: uncultured bacterium
Lineage: Bacteria
Description: bacterial SSU rRNA
Rfam family: Bacterial small subunit ribosomal RNA
Source: RNAcentral